UACGAAGGGGGCUAGCGUUGCUCGGAAUGACUGGGCGUAAAGGGCGCGUAGGCGGUUUGUACAGUCAGAUGUGAAAUUCCUGGGCUCAACCUGGGGGCUGCAUUUGAUACGUAUGGACUGGAGUGAGGAAGAGGGUCGUGGAAUUCCCAGUGUAGAGGUGAAAUUCGUAGAUAUUGGGAAGAACACCGGUGGCGAAGGCGGCGACCUGGUCCGUGACUGACGCUGAGGCGCGAAAGCGUGGGGAGCAAACAGG
Molecule: ribosomal RNA, 253 nt
Filed under: uncultured bacterium
Lineage: Bacteria
Description: partial 16S ribosomal RNA
Rfam family: Bacterial small subunit ribosomal RNA
Source: RNAcentral